AUCAAGCUUAUGAAUAUGUAAAAUGGUUUACAAAAUGAUGGCACAUUAAAGUUGAGGUUCUCAGCAACUUAAACCAGCACUGAAAUGUGACCAGUGAGGUUAAUUUGUUCCCCACUCUCUGCUCUUUUCCUCAGGUUGAAGAACAUCCCCAACACCCAGACUGACCUAAAGAACUUGGGAACCUCCCAGACACCAGGAGAAUCAUCUUGUUCUUGGUGUUUAUUCACAAGGUUUGUCAUGAUUUCCAGGAGCCUAGUGGAGUUGGAUACAACAUACUCCAAGGCAGGACAUUUCCCUGCAUCCAGGUUAAGGUCUGCUACCAGCAGGAACAUGGAGCACUCCAUGUCAGUAAUCAUAUACACUACCGUUCAAAAGUUUGGGGUCACUUAGAAAUGUCCUUGUUUUUGAAAGAGAAGCAAUUUUUUUCUCUAUUAAAACAACAUCAAAUUGAUCAGAAAUACAGUGUAGACAUUGUUAAUGUUGUAAAUGACUUGUAGCUGGCAGAUUAUUUUAUGGAAUAUCUACAUAGGCGUACAGAGACCCAUUAUCAGCAACCAUCACUCCUGUGUUCCAAUGGCACUUUGUGUUAGCUAAUCCAAGUUUUUCAUUUUAAAAGGCUAAUUAAUCAUUAGAAAACCCUUUUGCCAUUAUGUUAGCACAGCUGAAAACUGUUGUCCUGAUUUAAAGAAGCAAUAAAAUUCGCCUUCUUUAGACUAGUUGAGUAUCUGGAGCAUUAGCAUUUGUGGGUUCAAUUACAGGCACAAAAUGGCCAGAAACAAAGACCUUUUUUAUGAAACUCGUCAGUCUAUUCUUGUUCUGAGAAAUUAAGGGUAUUCCAAUAGAGAAAUUGCCAAGAAACUGAAGAUCUCGUACAACGCUGUGUACUACUCCCUUCACAGAACAGCAAAAACUGUCUCUAACCAGAAUAGAAAGAGGAGUGGGAGGCCCCGGUGCACAACUGAUCAAGAGGAAAAGUACAUUAGAGUGUCUAGUUUGAGAAACAGACGCCUCACAAGUUCUCAACUGGCAGCUUCAUUAAAUAGUACCUGCAAAACACCAGUCUCAACGUGAAGAGGCGACUCCUGGAUGCAGGCCUUCUAGGCAGAGUUGCAACGAAAAACCAUAUCUCAGACUGGCCAAUAAAAGAUUAAGAUGGGCAAAAGAACAUAGACACUGGACAGAGGAACUAUGCCUAGAAGGCCAGUGCCCAUCACUAUGCUAAGGAUCCUGGGACUGAACACCUCCCUCUGCAACUGGAUGGUGCCAGGACAACAACCUCUCCCCCAAUGUGGGCAAGACAAAGGUGGCUGAAGAUACCCCCCGUUCACAUCGACCGGGCUAUAGUGGAGCAGGUUGAGAGCUUCAAGUUCCUCUGUGUCCACAUCACUGAGGAUGUAUCAUGGUCCAAACACACCAACACAGUUGUAAACAGGGCAUGACAACGCCUCUUCCCCCUCA
This 1458-nucleotide long non-coding RNA is filed under the name Salmo trutta (river trout). RNAcentral describes it as "lncRNA (ENSSTUG00000014310.1)". The record is from RNAcentral. Lineage: Eukaryota; Metazoa; Chordata; Actinopteri; Salmoniformes; Salmonidae.